This is a long non-coding RNA of Thalassophryne amazonica, 918 nucleotides long. RefSeq lists it as uncharacterized. Lineage: Eukaryota; Metazoa; Chordata; Actinopteri; Batrachoidiformes; Batrachoididae. The transcript is spliced from 2 exons. The record is from RefSeq and is a predicted model, not a curated record.
GUGGUGUGAAGUGCUUGUGUUGAGUGCAUUAAAAAUACAGGGCUUUUGUGAGGUCACAUCCCGAGAUGCCCUGAGAUGUCACUGCCCACUCGACCUGGUAAAGGUAUGAGGUUGUUGCAUUAAUAUGUCAUACACUGCCCGAAGUACCAUUACUCUUAAAUCCUGCAGAGUGUGGAUGUCAUAGACUGUUUGGUACUUGGUACAGGCAGAGUGACAGAUGACAGACAAGACAUACACACACAUGCUAAUUAUUAAACUACUAUGUAUUAUAUUCAUAUCAUUAUAUUUGAUUAUAUGAUUAGUAUCAUAUAUAUAUAUUAGUCAUACAUUAUACUAUUUAAUAUCACAUUUUAUUAUAUUAUACUAUUACUAUAUUCUACUAUAUUAUAUUUUUACUGUAUUAUAUUAUACUAUAUUAUAUUAUAUUGCAUUCACCCCUCCCAUCCCCUAGCAACACCCAUAUAUUGUGACCAAACCAUUUCCUUAUAUUCUGAUUUAAAGUGAUGGAUAUUUGAACACUGCCUAAGUUGUAGCCCCAGUCGGUUCCAAAGUUUAACACCACACACAGACACACACAAACCUUUCCUCGUGGUCCUUACAGGAUGGACCUUAAAGUUACCACAGCCCCUCAGGUUAUAACCUCCUUCUCUGGUUGUGAAGAGCUUUUGAACAUUUGCAGGUAACAUGCUUUUACUUGCUUUAUAUAGAGGUUGUGCUGUAUAAAAAUUAACUAAAUCAUAAAAUUUUAUCAAUUUGGACUGCAAGAAUAAAUUAUUAGUGUGAUCAUAAAAUCCUACUUUAUGUAUGACUCUCACUGCCCGUUUCUGGAGGAUGAAGAGGGAUUAUAGUGAACUUUUAUAGUUGUUGCCCCAGAUGUCGAUACAAUAUGAUAAGUAAGGCAACACUAAUGAGCAAUAC